UACGAAGGGGGCUAGCGUUGCUCGGAAUCACUGGGCGUAAAGCGCACGUAGGCGGCUUUUUAAGUCAGGGGUGAAAUCCUGGAGCUCAACUCCAGAACUGCCUUUGAUACUGGAGAUCUUGAGUCCGGGAGAGGUGAGUGGAACUCCGAGUGUAGAGGUGAAAUUCGUAGAUAUUCGGAAGAACACCAGUGGCGAAGGCGGCUCACUGGCCCGGUACUGACGCUGAGGUGCGAAAGCGUGGGGAGCAAACAGG
Molecule: ribosomal RNA, 253 nt
Filed under: uncultured bacterium
Lineage: Bacteria
Description: partial 16S ribosomal RNA
Rfam family: Bacterial small subunit ribosomal RNA
Source: RNAcentral